This 378-nucleotide ribosomal RNA is filed under the name Calliaxina novaebritanniae. RNAcentral describes it as "partial small subunit ribosomal RNA". Lineage: Eukaryota; Metazoa; Arthropoda; Malacostraca; Decapoda; Callianassidae. The record is from RNAcentral.
AGAUACUAAAAGCUAUAGCCUCCAAAACUAAAGGACUUGGCUGUGACUUAGUCCAGUYAGAGGAACCUGUUCAAUAAAUGUUAAACCACACAGAAUCUUACCUGUCCUUUAGUUUGUAUACCAUCAUUAUUAGAUAACUCUGACAGGAUUACUUAUUCCAGCAAUAAGUUAUAUUUAUAUAUUAGAUCAAGGUGCAGCCCAUGGGAAGCUUCCAGUGGGUUACAAUAAAAUUUAUUUAUACAAAUCUAGGGUUUAAACACCCCAUUGAAGGAGAAUAUAAUAGUAAAACUGAUUUAUUAAGCCAUUUUGAGAGUUGACCUAAGUCGAGUACAUAUCGCCCGUUGCUUUCAUUCCUAGAUGAAAUAAUGUUGUAACAUA